GAUGAACGCUGGCGGCGUGCCUAAUACAUGCAAGUCGAGCGAACGGACGAGAAGCUUGCUUCUCUGAUGUUAGCGGCGGACGGGUGAGUAACACGUGGAUAACCUACCUAUAAGACUGGGAUAACUUCGGGAAACCGGAGCUAAUACCGGAUAAUAUUUUGAACCGCAUGGUUCAAAAGUGAAAGACGGUCUUGCUGUCACUUAUAGAUGGAUCCGCGCUGCAUUAGCUAGUUGGUAAGGUAACGGCUUACCAAGGCAACGAUGCAUAGCCGACCUGAGAGGGUGAUCGGCCACACUGGAACUGAGACACGGUCCAGACUCCUACGGGAGGCAGCAGUAGGGAAUCUUCCGCAAUGGGCGAAAGCCUGACGGAGCAACGCCGCGUGAGUGAUGAAGGUCUUCGGAUCGUAAAACUCUGUUAUUAGGGAAGAACAUAUGUGUAAGUAACUGUGCACAUCUUGACGGUACCUAAUCAGAAAGCCACGGCUAACUACGUGCCAGCAGCCGCGGUAAUACGUAGGUGGCAAGCGUUAUCCGGAAUUUAUGGGCGUAAAGCGGCGCGUAGGCGGUUUUUUAAGUCUGAUGUGAAAGCCCACGGCUCAACCGUGGAGGGUCAUUGGAAACUGGAAAACUUGAGUGCAGAAGAGGAAAGUGGAAUUCCAUGUGUAGCGGUGAAAUGCGCAGAGAUAUGGAGGAACACCAGUGGCGAAGGCGACUUUCUGGUCUGUAACUGACGCUGAUGUGCGAAAGCGUGGGGAUCAAACAGGAUUAGAUACCCUGGUAGUCCACGCCGUAAACGAUGAGUGCUAAGUGUUAGGGGGUUUCCGCCCCUUAGUGCUGCAGCUAACGCAUUAAGCACUCCGCCUGGGGAGUACGACCGCAAGGUUGAAACUCAAAGGAAUUGACGGGGACCCGCACAAGCGGUGGAGCAUGUGGUUUAAUUCGAAGCAACGCGAAGAACCUUACCAAAUCUUGACAUCCUUUGACAACUCUAGAGAUAGAGCUUUCCCCUUCGGGGGACAAAGUGACAGGUGGUGCAUGGUUGUCGUCAGCUCGUGUCGUGAGGUGUUGGGUUAAGUCCCGCAACGAGCGCAACCCUUAAGCUUAGUUGCCAUCAUUAAGUUGGGCACUCUAAGUUGACUGCCGGUGACAAACCGGAGGAAGGUGGGGAUGACGUCAAAUCAUCAUGCCCCUUAUGAUUUGGGCUACACACGUGCUACAAUGGACAAUACAAAGGGCAGCGAAACCGCGAGGUCAAGCAAAUCCCAUAAAGUUGUUCUCAGUUCGGAUUGUAGUCUGCAACUCGACUACAUGAAGCUGGAAUCGCUAGUAAUCGUAGAUCAGCAUGCUACGGUGAAUACGUUCCCGGGUCU
RNAcentral lists this ribosomal RNA (1373 nucleotides) under uncultured bacterium. RNAcentral's name for it is "bacterial SSU rRNA". It matches the Rfam family "Bacterial small subunit ribosomal RNA", at positions 28 to 1381 of the family's 1533-position model. The record is from RNAcentral.